UUUCUCCUUUUCUUCCUUAGCCUUCGGUCGAAUGACUUGGGGGUGGAGUUAAGGGGGGAGCUAUAUAGACAGCUCUGCUGUGGUGCUCUCUUUGCUACUUCCUGUCAGGAAGGACAAUAUCCCACAAGUUAGGAUGAAUCCAUGGACUCGAUACAUCGCAAAAGAAAGAAAUUGAUCAGGUAAGCAUAAAUUUUGUUUUUAGCUACUGAAAGUAUGUCACAGGAUGAUUCUCAGUCAGAAGGGAAUCAGGUUAUGCCAUCUAAUUCUCCCCAAGUGUCACAACCAUUAACGCCCGCGCAAGCGACGCCAAGUACUUCUAGUGCGUGUAAUUCUUUCACCCUGCAAGAUAUGGCAGCAGUUAUGAAUACUACCCUCACAGAGGUUUUAUCUAAGCUGCCUGGGUUGCAGGGGAAGCGCAGUAGGUCUGGUGUGAGAACAAACGCUGAGCCCUCUGACACUUUAUUAGCCAUAUCCUAUGUACCCUCACAAUGUUCUGAAGUGAGGGAUUUGCUGGCUGAGGGAGAGAUUUCUGAUUCAGGAAAUAUGUUCCCUCAGACAGAUUCAGAUAUGACGGCUUUUAAAUUUAAAUUAGAACACCUCCGCUUAUUGCUCAGGAAGAUUUUAGAGACUCUGGAUGAUUGUGACCCUAUUGUAGUUCCAGAGAAAUUGUGUAAAAUGGACAGAUUCCUAGAGGUUCCUGCCUACACUGAUGUUUUUCCGGUCCCUAAGAGGAUUUCAGAAAUUGUUACUAAGGAGUGGGAUAGACCAGGUAUUCCGCUCGCUCCCCCUCCUACUUUUAAGAAAAUGUUUCCCAUAUCUGAUGCCGUGCGGGACUCGUGGCAGACGGUCCCUAAGGUGGAGGGAGCUAUUUCUACCCUGGCUAAGCGUACAACUAUACCUAUUGAGGACAGUUGUGCUUUCAAAGAUCCUAUGGAUAAAAAAUUAGAGGGUCUUCUGAAGAAAAUAUUUGUUCACCAAGGUUUUCUUCUCCAACCUAUAGCGUGCAUUGUUCCUGUAACUACUGCAGCGUCCUUUUGGUUCGAGGCUCUGGAAGAGGCACUUCAGGUUGAGACCCCAUUAGAUGAUAUUCUGGAUAGAAUUAGGGCUCUCAAGCUAGCUAAUUCUUUCAUUACAGAUGCCUCUUUUCAAUUGGCUAAAUUAGCGGCGAAUAAUUCAGGUUUUGCCAUUUUAGCGCGUAGAGCGUUAUGGCUUACGUCCUGGUCUGCUGAUGUGUCAUCAAAAGCUAAGCUUUUAGCCAUCCCUUUCAAGGGUAAGACCCUAUUCGGGCCUGAACUGAAAGAGAUCAUUUCAGACAUCACUGGAGGGAAAGGCCAUGCCCUUCCUCAGGAUAAGACGAAUAAGAUGAGGACCAAACAAAAUAAUUUUCGUUCCUUUCGGAAAUUCAAAGGUGGUCCCUCUACCUCUUCCCCUGCCGCAAAGCAAGAGGGGAAUUUUGCUCAAUCCAAGUCAGUCUGGAGACGUAACCAGACUUGGAACAAGGGUAAACAGGCCAAGAAGCCCGCUGCUGCCACCAAGACAGCAUGAAGAGGUAGCCCCAGAUCCGGGACCGGAUCUAGUAGGGGGCAGACUUUCUCUCUCCGCUCAGGCUUGGGCAAGAGACGUUCAGGACUCCUGGGCUUUAGAAAUAGUAACCCAGGGGUAUCUUCUAGAUUUCAAAGAUUCUCCCCCAAGGGGGAGAUUCCAUCUUUCACAAUUGUCUGUAAACCAGACAAAAAGAGAGGCGUUCUUACGCUGUGUAGAAGACCUAUAUUCCAAGGGAGUGAUCUGCCCAGUUCUGAAAAUAGAACAGGGGCAAGGGUUCUACUCCAAUCUGUUUGUGGUUCGAAAAAAAAAGAGGGAACCUUCAGACCAAUUUUGGACCUCAAAAUCCUAAACAAAUUCCUCAGAGUCCCAUCCUUCAAGAUGGAGACCAUUCGGACUAUUUUGCCAAUGAUCCAGGAGGGUCAAUAUAUGACCAGCGUGGACUUAAAGGAUGCGUAUCUACACAUUCCUAUCCACAAAGAUCAUCACCAGUUCCUCAGGUUCGCCUUUCUGGACAAGCAUUACCAGUUUGUGGCUCUUCCCUUCGGGUUGGCCACAGCUCCCAGAAUUUUCACAAAGGUGCUUGGGUCCCUUCUGGCAGUUCUAAGGCCGCGGGGCAUAGCUGUGGCGCCUUAUCUGGACGAUAUCUUAAUCCAGGCGUCAACUUUCCAACUAGCCAAGUCUCACACGGGCAUCAUGGUGGCUUUUCUAAGAUCUCACGGGUGGAAGGUGAACAUACAGAGAGAGUUCACUUAUCCCUCUCACAAGAGUUCCUUUCCUGGGAACUGUGAUACAUUCGGUGGACAUGAAAAUCUUUCUGACGGAGGUCAGGAAAUCAAAAAUUUUAUCCAUCUGCCGAGCUCUUCAUUCCAUUCCUCGCCCGUCAGUGGCUCAGUGUAUGGAGGUAAUCGGCUUAAUGGUAGCGGCAAUGGACAUAGUUCCGUUUGCUCGCUUGCAUCUCAGACCACUGCAACUUUGCAUGCUCAAACAGUGGAAUGGGGAUUAUGCAGAUUUAUCUCCUCAGAUAAAUCUGGACCAAGAGACCAGAGACUCUCUUCUUUGGUGGUUGUCACAGGAUCAUCUGUCCAAGGGAAUGUGUUUCCGCAGGCUAGCGUGGGUCAUAGUGACGACGGACGUCAGCCUAUUGGGCUGGGGUGCAGUUUGGAAUUCCCUGAAAGCACAGGGAUUGUGGACUCGGGAGGAAGCUCUCCUCCCGAUAAAUAUUCUAGAACUGAGAGCGAUCUUCAACGCGCUUCAGGCAUGGCCUCAGCUGGCGUCGGCCAGAUUCGUAAGAUUCCAGUCGGACAAUAUCACGACUGUAGCAUAUAUCAAUCAUCAGAGGGGAAAAAAAAGAGUUCUCUAGCGAUGAUAGAGUUUACCAAAAUAAUUAAAUGGGCAGAGACUCUCACUCUUGCCAUCUAUCAGCAAUCUAUAUCCCAGGAGUGGAGAACUGGGAAGCGGAUUUUCUAAGUCGUCAGACUUUUCAUCCGGGGGAGUGGGAACUCCAUCCGGAGGUGUUUGCACAAUUGAUUCAGCAAUGGGGCACACCAGAAUUGGAUCUGAUGGCGUCUUGUCAGAAGCCAAACUUCCAAAACGGGUCCAGGUCAAGGGAUCCUCAGGCAGUACUGAUAGAUGUUCUAGCAGGUACCCUGGUCGUUCAACCUGGCUUAUGUGUUUCCACCAUUUCCUCUCUUUCCUCGUUUGAUUGCCAGAAUCAAACAGGAGAGAGCUUCAGUGAUUUUGAUAGCACCUGCGUGGCCACGUAGGACUUGGUAUGUAGACCUGGUGGACAUGUCAUCUCUUCCACCAUGGACUCUGCCACUGAGACAGGACCUUCUGAUUCAAGGUCCGUUCCAGCAUUCAAAUCUAUUCUCUCUGCGACUGACUGCUUAGAGAUUGAACGCUUGAUCUUAUCCAAGCGGGGGUUCUCUGAGUCGGUCAUAGAUUGCUUGAUUCAGGCUCAAAAGCCUGUCACCAGGAAAAUUUAUCAUAAGAUAUGGUGUAAAUAUCUUUAUUGGUGCGAAUCCAAAGGCUACUCAUGGAGUAAGAUCAGGAUUCCUAGGAUUUUGUCCUUUCUCCAAGAAGGAUUGGAGAAGGGGCUAUCAGCUAGUUCCUUAAAGGGACAGAUAUCUGCUUUAUCAAUUCUACUGCCCAAACGUCUGGCAGAUGUUCCAGACGUUCAGUCGUUCUGUCAGGCUUUAGUUAGAAUCAAGCCUGUGUUUAAACCUGUUGCUCCGCCAUGGAGUUUGAAUUUAGUUCUUAAGGUUCUUCAAGGGGUUCCGUUUGAACCUAUGCAUUCCAUAGAUAUUAAGCUUCUAUCUUGGAAAGUUCUUUUUUUAGUUGCUAUCUCUUCGACUCGAAGAGUUUCUGAAUUAUGUGCAUUGCAAUGCGACUCUCCUUAUCUUGUUUUCAUGCGGAUAAGGUGGUUUUGCGUACCAAACCUGGAUUCCUUCCUAAGGUUGUUACUAAUAAGAAUAUUAAUCAGGAAAUUGUUGUUCCUUCUCUGUGUCCUAAUCCUUCCUCUAAGAAGGAGCGUUUAUUGCACAAUUUGGACGUGGUUCGUGCUUUAAAGUUUUACUUGCAAGCGACCAAAGAUUUCCGUAAAACAUCUUCUUUGUUUGUUGUCUAUUCUGGAAAACGUAGAGGUCAAAAAGCUACGGCUACCUCUCUUGCCUUUUGGCUGAAAAGCAUCAUCCGUUUGGCAUACAAGACUGCUGGACAGCAGCCUCCUGAAAGAAUUACAGCUCACUCUACUAGAGCGGUGGCUUCCACAUGGGCUUUUAAAAAUGAUGCUUCUGUUGAACAGAUUUGUAAGGCUGCGACUUGGUCUUCGCUUCAUACCUUUUCCAAAUUUGAUACCUUUGCUUCUUCAGAGGCUAUUUUUGGGAGAAAAGUUCUUCAAGCAGUGGUGCCUUCUGUUUAACCAUCUGUCUUGUCCCUCCCGUUCAUCCAUGUCCUGUAGCUUUGGUAUUGUAUCCCACAAGUAAAGGAUGAAUCUGUGGACUCGUCUUACCUUUAUAGAAGAAAAGUAAAUUUAUGCUUACCUGAUAAAUUAAUUUCUUCUAUGGUAAGACGAGUCCACGGCCCGCCCUGUCAUUUUAAGACAGAUAUUUUUUUUAUUUAAACUUCAGUCACCUCUGCACCUUUUGUAGUUUCUCCUUUUCCUUCCUGUAGCUUCGGUCGAAUGACUGGGGGGUGGAGCUAAAGGAGGAGCUAUAUAGACAUCUCUGCUGUGGUGCUCUUUGCCACUUCCUGUUAGCAGGAGGAUAAUAUCCCACAAGUAAAGGAUGAAUCCGUGGACUCGUCUUACCAUAGAAGAAAUUAAUUUAUCAGGUAAUCAUAAAUUUACUUUUUAAAGAUCGCUCCGAAACGGGGCCCACAAAACCGCCGCUAUCUUGAAGCCCUGACAGGCUGUAAGAGACCAUGCUGCGCAGCACACGCUGACAAAAAGUUCCACACCAGGAGCGAGUAAAAAAGGAGCAAAUUGAAGCACCAUAAGAUACUACUACAUAUAAUUAUAUAGAACUACUACUGUUCUGCCUGUUCUUUGAUAAAUGCUUAACAUGGUGAAGAUGUCCCUGUACAUAGCACAUUAAAUUCCUAAGCACUUUGAACGCACUGCUUAUGUGAGUUGGACACUUUAACGAUAACAUCCACAACUUAUAUUGAUAGCUCUGCACAACGGAUGUUUGCAAAGAUGGACUUAAUUACCCACUUGAUAUAGGCAGCGAGCUUAAGAUAACAGCCAAUACCCCUAAUCUAGGAACACCACAUCCAUAUUAGCAACUACUAAGCCUCCAGCUUCAAAAACCCAGAUACUGGUCUCUUUGUCAUCAGAAGACGAAGAAAAUGAUACGUCAGAAACCACUCAGAUAUCCACGACUCUAUUACACUCAAUGCCGUCUAAGCAAGAUUUUGAUAACCUGGUGACACAGGUAUGCCAAUGUAUCAAGGAAGAAAUAACUGGCCUUAGAAAAGAGGUUACGGAGAUUGGUCAAAAAGUUGAAGCUUUGGAGGAAGAUAAUGACCUUAACCAGUCAGAGCUAUCCAAUCUACAAACAGCCAACACUCAUGAUCUACAGAUCCUCCAACUUCAAGAUAAAAUUGAAGACCUGGAAAACAGGGAAAGGCGACAGAAUCUCUGAAUCUAUUCUUCCCAACACUCUCUCUGAGUUUCUAACAGGCCUAUUCCCACAUCUCAUGGGCCCAUCUACAACUUACGAUACCACCAUGUAUAGAGCACACAGUGCCCUAAGGCACAAGCCUCCAGAGCAAGCUCCACCGAGAGACGUAAUAUUAAAGUUAAAAGACUUCCAAGCAAAAGAAGAAAUCCUAAAAGCGGCAAGACAGCAGAAAAACAUCACAUAUCAAAAUUGCUGUAUCCAAGUUUAUACUGAUCUCGCACUCUACAGAGGAGGAAGGAAUUUCAACCCCUCACUACAAUCCUUAGAGCACAAGGAAUUUCAUACCAUUGGAGUUUCCCUUGUUUUCUCAUGGUGACACAUCAAGGUGAGAAAUGUAUCUGCAAAUCAAUGAAGGAAGCCUAACCUUUCUGCACCUCACUUGGCAUAUCGCCACCCAAGGGACUUCCUAUAUCGGAUGAUCAGUCCUCCAUGAGACAAUCUACACAGCCUCGACCUCCAAGAGCCCGGGGCAAAUAGCUCCAGCUAAAAAAACUGAAGAAACACCCUGCUGGACCUUCAGAAGAGCAAACUUGACAAUUAGGACACUACAUAAUUUGAUAAAGUACAAAUAUUUCAAAGAGACUGAACAGUCCUGUGGUUCAUAUAGGUUUCCCUCACAUUAAAGGAGCAAAUGGAGUUUGAUGAAGUUCCGGUUUACUACUCUGAUGAGGAAUGGGAUUGCUUAAAUGAAGAACAGAGGAAACUUUAUAAAGAUCUGACGAUCGAGAAUAACCAGAUUCUCAGGUCACUGGUGAGAGAUUUUAAGACAAAGGGUCAAAAAUAUGAUGGUGCGUCCAGGUGGAAGGUGAGGGAACGAGCCGAGAGAUAUACGGUGGAAGAGAAAGAGGUUCUGAUCAGGGAAGUUCUGGCGAGAGAGGACAUCCUGUGGAGUAAAAACCCCUGGAGUGCGGAGAGGAGCAAAGCCUGGAAGGAUAUCACUGCAGCCGUCUGUCGCGUGGGGCGUCUCCGCACAGUCUCUUCGGUUAAACACAGGUUUCAUGACUGCAGGUCAGAGGUCAGGAAGAAGAUGGAACAGGCAGCAGUGGGCAAGGAGGUUACAUUUGCCCACUGGGAGGAAAUGCUGAGGCGCUACUUGCUUGGAGCUUCAACGGCCGACUCCGGAGAGCAGUCUGAGGGUAACGCAUUUGUUUUAUAUUCUAAUUUUAUACACAAGAUCACACGUGGGUCUAACUUAAGUACAGUUAUAAUCAUUUAUACACAAGAUCACACGUGGGUCUAACUUAAGUACAGUUAUAAUCAUUUAUACACAAGAUCACACGUGGGUCUAACUUAAGUACAGUUAUAAUCAUUUAUACACAAGAUCACACGUGGGUCUAACUUAAGUACAGUUAUAAUCAUUUAUACACAAGAUCACACGUGGGUCUAACUUAAGUACAGUUAUAAUAAUUUAUACACAAGAUCACACUGGGUCUAACUUAAGUACAGUUAUAAUCAUUUAUACACAAGAUCACACGUGGGUCUAACUUAAGUACAGUUAUAAUCAUUUAUACACAAGAUCACACGUGGGUCUAACUUAAGUACAGUUAUAAUCAUUUAUACACAAGAUCACACGUGGGUCUAACUUAAGUACAGUUAUAAUAAUUUAUACACAAGAUCACACUGGGUCUAACUUAAGUACAGUUAUAAUCAUUUAUACACAAGAUCACACUGGGUCUAACUUAAGUACAGUUAUAAUCAUCUAUACACAAGAUCACAAUGGAUCUAACUUAAGUACAGUUAUAAUCAUUUAUACACAAGAUCACACGUGGGUCUAACUUAAGUACAGUUAUAAUCAUCUAUACACAAGAUCACACUGGGUCUAACUUAAGUACAGUUGUAAUAAUUUAUACACAAGAUCACAAUGGAUCUAACUUAAGUACAGUUAUAAUCAUUUAUACACAAGAUCACACUGGGUCUAACUUAAGUACAGUUAUAAUCAUCUAUACACAAGAUCACACUGGGUCUAACUUAAGUACAGUUGUAAUAAUUUAUACACAAGAUCACAAUGGAUCUAACUUAAGUACAGUUAUAAUCAUUUAUACACAAGAUCACACUGGGUCUAACUUAAGUACAGUUAUAAUCAUUUAUACACAAGAUUACACUGGGUCUAACUUAAGUACAGUUAUAAUCAUUUAUACACAAGAUCACACGUGGGUCUAACUUAAGUACAGUUAUAAUCAUUUAUACACAAGAUCACACGUGGGUCUAACUUAAGUACAGUUAUAAUCAUUUAUACACAAGAUCACACGUGGGUCUAACUUAAGUACAGUUAUAAUCAUUUAUACACAAGAUCACACGUGGGUCUAACUUAAGUACAGUUAUAAUCAUUUAUACACAAGAUCACACUGGGUCUAACUUAAGUACAGUUAUAAUCAUUUAUACACAAGAUCACACUGGGUCUAACUUAAGUACAGUUAUAAUCAUCUAUACACAAGAUCACAAUGGAUCUAACUUAAGUACAGUUAUAAUCAUUUAUACACAAGAUCACACGUGGGUCUAACUUAAGUACAGUUAUAAUCAUUUAUACACAAGAUCACACGUGGGUCUAACUUAAGUACAGUUAUAAUCAUUUAUACACAAGAUCACACGUGGGUCUAACUUAAGUACAGUUAUAAUCAUUUAUACACAAGAUCACACGUGGGUCUAACUUAAGUACAGUUAUAAUAAUUUAUACACAAGAUCACACUGGGUCUAACUUAAGUACAGUUAUAAUCAUUUAUACACAAGAUCACACUGGGUCUAACUUAAGUACAGUUAUAAUC
Molecule: RNA transcript, 8488 nt
Organism: Bombina bombina (fire-bellied toad)
Lineage: Eukaryota; Metazoa; Chordata; Amphibia; Anura; Bombinatoridae
Exons: 3
Source: RefSeq, a predicted model, not a curated record